Molecule: small RNA, 83 nt
Filed under: Marmota monax (woodchuck)
Lineage: Eukaryota; Metazoa; Chordata; Mammalia; Rodentia; Sciuridae
Source: RNAcentral
GCCGGGCGUGGUGGCGCACGCCUGUAAUCCCAGCAGCUUGGGAGGCUGAGGCAGGAGGAUCAGGAGCUCAAAGCCAGCCUCAG